RNAcentral lists this ribosomal RNA (459 nucleotides) under uncultured bacterium. RNAcentral describes it as "partial 16S ribosomal RNA". It matches the Rfam family "Bacterial small subunit ribosomal RNA", at positions 338 to 795 of the family's 1533-position model. The record is from RNAcentral.
CCUACGUGUGGCAGCAGUGAGGAAUAUUGGUCAAUGGGCGCGAGCCUGAACCAGCCAAGUCGCGUGAGGGAAGACGGUCCUAUGGAUUGUAAACCUCUUUUGUCGGGGAGCAAAAGACGCCACGCGUGGCGUUCCGAGAGUACCAGAAGAAAAAGCAUCGGCUAACGCCGUGCCAGCCGCCGCGGAAAUACGGAGGAUGCGAGCGUUAGCUGGAUUUAUUGGGUUUAAAGGGUGCGCAGGCGGAAGAUCAAGUCAGCGGUAACCUUGGGAGGCUCAACCUCUUCGAGCCGUUGAAACUGGUUGUCUUGAGUGAGUGAGAAGUAUGCGGAAUGCGUGGUGUAGCGGUGAAAUGCAUAGAUAUCACGCAGAACUCCGAUUGCGAAGGCAGCAUACCGGCGCUCAAUUGACGCUCAUGCACGAAAGUGUGGGUAUCGAACAGGAUUAGAUACCCGGGUAGUC